This 482-nucleotide long non-coding RNA is filed under the name Homo sapiens (human). Its description in RNAcentral is "HSALNT0256928". The record is from RNAcentral. Lineage: Eukaryota; Metazoa; Chordata; Mammalia; Primates; Hominidae.
GAGUCACGCAUGUUGAGGUUAUUGCUCCAAGACUCAAAAGGGAGUCGGGAGGAUUCGAGCCUGGACCUUUUGAGCUCCCCAGUAUGGGCAAACUCAAAGGAGCUUUGUUGUCCCCGGGUCGUGAUGUCGCUGUGAUGAUGGGCUGGGAAGCAAGUGGACCCCAGCGCCUCGCCGUCCACAUCUUUUAAGAAUGGAACAGCCAGGGGUGGGGCGAGGGUGGCCUGUCUCCACGUAAAGUAGGAGUUUAUAGAUAAGGAAACUGAGGCCCACAUGGAUGUCACUUGCCAAAAGGCAGAGCCAAGGGCCAGGCGCGGUGGCUCACGCCUGUAACCCCAACACUGCGAGUCCGAAGCGGGCAGAUAUCUUGAGGUCAGGAGUUCGAAAACAGCCUGGGCAUCACAGCCGAGACCUCAUCUCUUGUUUGUUUGUUUGUUUGUUUGUUUGUUUUUUGAGACAGAGUCUCGCUCUGUCGCCCAAGCUGG